UACAUGUGAGAUAACAGGAAAAACUACUUUGUCAUUAAUAAUGAGGCUUACAUAAUACGGAAGUACGCAUUAUAAAUAGCAUGCGCGCGAAUAGAACUUGCAAUAUGUGUUAACUCGUCGAAACGGCAAGACAAGUAGUGAAAAGAAUCACAAACCUAUACUAAAUUCUUAUAAAUGAAAAACAGUUUAACCGAAACAGUGUUUAGUGCAAUUUAAAAAAUUCAACAAGAAGAUUAUCAAUAUAAUAAGGAUAUUGCUAAGAAGAGAGAGAAUUUGAUUCUCUUAUUUCAGUCUCUUGCCAUUAGGAUCGUGAGGAAUAUAGAGAUUAUUAAACAGCACAAUGAAAAUAUUCCUUCAUGUCUUCUUGAUAAUUAUGCUGAUAACAUUCAGCCUAAUAUCACUUGGGAUGUCAAUAAGAGCCCGUCGAGAACCAACAACAUAUCUUCCGUUUACUACCAAAAUAUAUCUAACAGCUACAACACGUAGACCAACUUAUACUCCACUACCGCUAGUACCAACUUAUUUUACACCACCGCCUAUACCUGUAACACGUGCAACGGCUAAGUCUAAUAUUAUAGACACUCCACAAUUUGAAGAAGUGACUUGCCCACCAGGAAGACUAAAAGAUCCACGCGGAAUAUGUCGCAACAAACAAUAAUGUUGAAGAUACGCAGGGACUGUUAUAUAUAACUGCUCAGUUUUAUAGAGACAAUCUCAAGAACACUCCUUUAUCCAUAUUGAGGACACACCGUAACUUUCCUCCUCAAAUCACUAGAGGACAGUACGUUCGAGAAGUGUAACGUAACCUUUCAGUUGUUGUAGCGGUAUCAAAAUAAAAACGCAUACGCACAAUUUUUCUUCUAGAACCUCAACCACUCGUUAAUCCCAAAAUCGCAAUAUACAACAAUGGCCCUAAAUAUUUAAGACACAUCAUAAAAAUUAUCAAACCAUACAGCAGAUAUGAGGAGAUAAUUCAAGAGACAUAAAAUAACAUAUAUAGCAAUUUACAAAUGUAAAUAAACAUUAAUUAUCACUAAUAAAGUCAAUUGUUCUGAUGCCCCA
Harpegnathos saltator (Jerdon's jumping ant) is the source of this 1062-nucleotide long non-coding RNA. RefSeq lists it as uncharacterized. The transcript is spliced from 2 exons. The record is from RefSeq and is a predicted model, not a curated record. Lineage: Eukaryota; Metazoa; Arthropoda; Insecta; Hymenoptera; Formicidae.